AUGGAGUUUCAGCACUGGGAACUGAGAUUGAAAUAUCACAUGCCAGCAAAGAAAAAGAUCCUGUUGUGUGCCUUGUGCUUCUUUUUGGGUUGGAUGCCUCUGAGAGAGAUGAAGAGCGGGCAGCUGGUGCUUGAGGAAAGGCAAGAUUUCAGAUCUGUGUCCUCCACUUGGUUGGGGAUAUUCAUAGUACAGUUCAUACAUAACAUUAUUAAGAGCCAGGUGCCUGAAGGACCAAGAGGAGGCUCCUGUGAUUGUAAGAAACCAGGCAGCCAACCUGACAGAGCUCCCAGUCUGCCAAAACCCACUGGACACCUCCUGCUCUCUGAGGCAAGGACUGCAGCCCUCAGAGUGCUCUGUCUGGUAUAACACAUCUGAAAAUAUCCCAGCCCUUCAAUAUAUUUUGUCUUUUUUAGCAAGUUCAUUAUAAGAAUUUGUGACAUGCUGUCAAAGUCUUGCUGUGAGUACUUGGCUUUUUUUUUUUUCCCCUCCUCUCUCUCUUAAUUUAGGUCUUGCAGCUAUCUGUAGAAAUUUUCUUGUCCCAUAUCCAGUGUCACUAAGUUCAUGUAUUCAGUGGUAGUUUAGCUAAGGCAAUAUCACUUCUGAAUUGUAAGCAUAGAUAGUUUCCCUUGAUCGUCUACUUUCAACUGUCCUAAUGAUGUUUUGUCUAUAUAAUUUUAAUUUGUCUGGUUUUCUGUUUUGUUUCCUUCUUUUCCACAGUGCUGGGGAUGUCUCUGUAGUCUGUUGCAUUCACUGAUGUCCCGCUGUCUAUUUGGCAUGCCAUUUACUAUUUGUGUGCUGCUUUGUCUUUGCAUCUGGUGCUUCCCUGAGCUUUCCAAAACAUUUUUUUUCCAUUUUGCACUGCAUUAAUAUCAUCCAUUAACAGCCACAUUCUCUGAGCUGCUACUUGUUUCCUUGAUAUAUUCCAAAAUUAUUACUUUGAUUUAAGUUUUGGCAUAAUGAUAUCUCUUGUUGCAGUUAUGGUUAGUAAGUUGGUAUAUAGAAUACUCUAUUUCAAGGCCAGAUUUGCCACAAGCUGUGUAGAAGAUACUAAUAAAUUUCUAGCACUACUGAUAGGGCA
This 1078-nucleotide long non-coding RNA is filed under the name Anser cygnoides (Swan goose). Its description in RNAcentral is "lncRNA (ENSACDG00005001710.1)". Lineage: Eukaryota; Metazoa; Chordata; Aves; Anseriformes; Anatidae. The record is from RNAcentral.